This 468-nucleotide long non-coding RNA is filed under the name Coturnix japonica (Japanese quail). RNAcentral's name for it is "lncRNA (ENSCJPG00005014897.1)". The record is from RNAcentral. Lineage: Eukaryota; Metazoa; Chordata; Aves; Galliformes; Phasianidae.
UCUUACAUUUAAAGAUGUUGUGGAGAAUUUUAGGAUAUCAUGGAGAUAACUGGUAGUAUGUUUAUAUCUGCUUUUCGUUCUCUGCAACCUGCCUUAUCUGCUAAUGACCUCCAAAGAACAGCAUUAACCACAAUUUAUCUAUGGAUAGAAAAGAACGUACUUGUGAAUAAAACAGAUUCCAUCUUACUCUACCAGAGAAUAUGAUGGAAUUCAAAUACGCUUUCAUGGGGAAGCAAUCUAAGGAAUGAAAAAUCUGAUGAGUCCAGUCACUUGGUGGAUUUUUUUUCAUCUUAACAUCUCUCACUGACCUCAGAACUCUACUUCCAUAGUAUGUAUAAACUCAGCAUGCCUUUCCAUGCAUUUGUACUGUGUAUCAAUGGAUGGCAGAAUUUGGGGCUCUCUGUCCAACUCAUCAACAAAACAUUUGGAGUUCAUGAAAGAGCAUACAUAGUGUUUUACUUCAAAAAG